CUACGGGGGGCAGCAGUGGGGAAUAUUGCACAAUGGGCGCAAGCCUGAUGCAGCCAUGCCGCGUGUAUGAAGAAGGCCUUCGGGUUGUAAAGUACUUUCAGUCGUGAGGAAGGUGGUGCAGUGAAUAGCUGCAUUAUUUGACGUUAGCGACAGAAGAAGCACCGGCUAACUCCGUGCCAGCAGCCGCGGUAAUACGGAGGGUGCGAGCGUUAAUCGGAAUUACUGGGCGUAAAGCGCAUGCAGGUGGUUUGUUAAGUCAGAUGUGAAAGCCCGAGGCUCAACCUCGGAAGGUCAUUUGAAACUGGCAGGCUAGAGUACUGUAGAGGGGGGUAGAAUUUCAGGUGUAGCGGUGAAAUGCGUAGAGAUCUGAAGGAAUACCGGUGGCGAAGGCGGCCCCCUGGACAGAUACUGACACUCAGAUGCGAAAGCGUGGGGAGCAAACAGGAUUAGAUACCCCGGUAGUC
Molecule: ribosomal RNA, 464 nt
Filed under: uncultured bacterium
Lineage: Bacteria
Description: partial 16S ribosomal RNA
Rfam family: Bacterial small subunit ribosomal RNA
Source: RNAcentral